RNAcentral lists this long non-coding RNA (1999 nucleotides) under Equus caballus (horse). RNAcentral's name for it is "lncRNA (ENSECAG00000052265.1)". The record is from RNAcentral. Lineage: Eukaryota; Metazoa; Chordata; Mammalia; Perissodactyla; Equidae.
AUAAGAUAUUAUGACUAAUAAAGUUACAACAAUCUUGAUCUAAAAAAGUCAAUUCAUUUUAACUAAAAUCUAUGCAGAGGGAAGUUAAAUGGCAUUAAAAAUCGUGUUACAUUGUUACCAAGGGACAGAGGGCAGGUGACGUUAUUUUAGAACUAAAUAUCCAAAUAUCUUUUCUUUGGUAUAAUUUUUAAAUAACCAGGAGAAAAAAGAGAAGGAAAGCUUGAGCAAUUAAGUAAAAAGCAGGAAAUGAGUAAGAAAAUAACAAGAGCAUAAAAACUCAGAAUUAAAAAAAUGGCAGAGACCCGAAUAUCAUCCACUGAUGAGAUAUUUAAAUAGUCAAAACCACGGAAUCAGAGAAUAGAAUGAUGGUUGUCAAGAACUGGGGGAAGGAGGAAACGGGGAGUCAUUAAACAGGUAUAAACUUUCAGUUAUGCAAGGUGAAUAAAUUCUAGAGAACUGCUGUACGCCAUAGUGCCUAUAGUUGACAAUACAGUAUUGUGCACUGAAAAAUGUGUUAAGAGGGUAGAUCUCAUGUUAAGUGUUCUUACAAUAACAAGCAAAAAACAAAAGCAAAAAUCCACGGAAGCACAAGGGAACUUUUAGAGGUGAUGCGUGCGUCUAUUACCUUGAUUGUGGUGAUGGUGCCAUGGUGUACGCAUAUGUCCAAAUCCAUCUAAUUGUACACAUUAAAUAUGUACAGUUUCUUGUAUAUCACUUCUACCUCAAUAAAGCUGCUUCAAACAUUUUUUAAUAAAAUAAAAUAUAGAAAUAACAGAUAAAGUUCAAAGACAAGCCUGCCCUGGGGGUGAAGAAGGAUCAGGUUGGGUAACGCUGGGCAGAGCCUCCUUGCUAGUGCGCCACAAAUGAGUUACAGGUUCAUUUGAUAACUGAAAUAAAUUAGUAAAAGUAGGGCUGGGCUUUGGGGUUCCAGCUACAUCCCUUGCUGCCUAUGUGACCUAGACGAAGUUAACUUCUAACCCUUAGUUUUGUUUCUGUAAAAUACAAGUAAUAAUAUUUUCUACUUCAGGGGGAUUUUUAAGGUUUUGAAUUAAUCCAGGUAAAGCAUUUAGGAUCUGGGCAUAUAUUCAUGGUUCUUUAAAUAUUACCAUUUGUGCUUAUUCUAAAGGAAAAUAUUGGGGGGCCAGUGGUAUCUCAAGGUCAAACUAUUCACCCAGAACUGGAAAUUAGGAAGUAGAAAGUAAGCAAACAUACUGGUAUCUACCUGGAUCCAGAUGACACUGGAAACCACGGGAAGGAGCCACAAGGAUAUAUGAAUAGUGAUUUCACACAAGGACUUACGUUUAUAUUCUAACACUCAGAGAAAACUUAAUCUGUAAUAUGAUUUAAAGAAAUAAAAACCUGGAACCAGAAUGGGGCUUUCUAUGAAUUCUCUCAACUCUUAACUCAUCACUUUUGCCCUAUUAAAAUGCUCCCCUCUCCUAAAGCCAAGGCCAUGAGGAGUUCCGCUCAGUCUGCUCCUCCCGAACUCCACUUUGCCAUCGGCUCUCACAAAGCUUUGUAUUUCAAGUUGUGAUGCAUUUCAAAUUCUGACCGUCCUUACCAUCUGCUUAACAAAUGUCAUCUUCUGAUGUCUGGCAUGAGCAAGAUGGGGUCUUUACUUCCAUACUCGUCAGUAUUUCUUUAGACAUCAAACUUUGGCUUGUUCCAGUAUCAACCUUGAUUUCCCCUAGGUCCUCCAAAAGUGGAGCUUUCUCCUCCAUUCCAUGCUUAAAAGUCAAAGUGGACAGUGAAGGCAUUGUGAACACUGCUAGCUGCUCACCAAAUCCAAUGGGCUCUUCUUCUUUGGCACUGGGCCAAACAGCACUUCCUUCCCAGACUCUCUUUUGGUAAGGUGCUGCUGUUGCUUGAUGAUGUUCUAGACAACAGUUUAUGAGCAGAAGUGAUGUGCGCCUCUUCUGAGCCUAGCUCAUAAAAGUCUCCCAUGAAUUUCCUCCAUGUUCUCCCCUCCCCCGCCCCACUCCCCCAUUCUGCUGCCUGG